UAGCUCAGUGGUAGAGUGCUUGCCUUGAAUGCAUGAGGCCCUGGGUUCGAUUCCUCAG
Molecule: transfer RNA, 58 nt
Filed under: Dipodomys ordii (Ord's kangaroo rat)
Lineage: Eukaryota; Metazoa; Chordata; Mammalia; Rodentia; Heteromyidae
Rfam family: tRNA
About the family: Transfer RNA (tRNA) molecules are approximately 80 nucleotides in length. Their secondary structure includes four short double-helical elements and three loops (D, anti-codon, and T loops).
Source: Rfam by way of RNAcentral